AACGCACAUUGCGCCCUUUAGUAUUCUGAAGGGCAUGCCUGUUCGAGCGUCAUUAUCACUAAUCAAGCCUGGCUUGCUGUUGGACCUCUUGUCGUUAACAGACAGGUUCCAAAGAUAAUGACGGCGUCAAUUGGACCCUAGAUGCAACGAGCUUUCAUUAGCACGCAUGUUAGAAGCCUUUUGACCCGGUCUUUAACCAAUUUUCUCAGGUUGACCUCGGAUCAGGUAGGAAUACCCGCUGAACUUAA
Molecule: unclassified non-coding RNA, 248 nt
Filed under: Cladophialophora sp.
Lineage: Eukaryota; Fungi; Ascomycota; Eurotiomycetes; Chaetothyriales; Herpotrichiellaceae
Also listed under: 2 other names
Description: partial contains 5.8S ribosomal RNA, internal transcribed spacer 2, and large subunit ribosomal RNA
Source: RNAcentral